RNAcentral lists this long non-coding RNA (212 nucleotides) under Carica papaya (papaya). RNAcentral describes it as "long non-coding RNA (CPAP_LNC000267)". Lineage: Eukaryota; Viridiplantae; Streptophyta; Magnoliopsida; Brassicales; Caricaceae. The record is from RNAcentral.
AUUCCCGUAACUUAUUGGACAAUUCAUUUUAUUUUGUAAAAAAUGUAAAUGCUAACGUUAUUAUUCGCUUCCGCAUUUAAAUUAUAAAUUCAUUUCCUUUAAGAUUUCAGACCUUUAUAGUUGGUAUUAGAGUCGCGUUCCUUAGAACCAUUCCUUGCACAAAGAUUUGAAACAUUUAAAUACAACCUGACUCUUAACCCUUCAUUGUGAAA